This 498-nucleotide ribosomal RNA is filed under the name uncultured bacterium. RNAcentral's name for it is "partial 16S ribosomal RNA". It matches the Rfam family "Bacterial small subunit ribosomal RNA", at positions 30 to 523 of the family's 1533-position model. The record is from RNAcentral.
AUUGAACGCUGGCGGCAUGCCUUACACAUGCAAGUCGAACGGUAACGGGCCUUCGGGUGCCGACGAGUGGCGAACGGGUGAGUAAUGCAUCGGAACGUACCUUUCAGUGGGGGAUAACGUAGCGAAAGUUACGCUAAUACCGCAUAUUCUGUGAGCAGGAAAGCAGGGGAUCGCAAGACCUUGUGCUGAUUGAGCGGCCGAUGUCAGAUUAGCUAGUUGGUGAGGUAAAGGCUCACCAAGGCGACGAUCUGUAGCGGGUCUGAGAGGAUGAUCCGCCACACUGGAACUGAGACACGGUCCAGACUCCUACGGGAGGCAGCAGUGGGGAAUUUUGGACAAUGGGGGCAACCCUGAUCCAGCCAUGCCGCGUGAGUGAAGAAGGCCUUCGGGUUGUAAAGCUCUUUCGGUCGGGAAGAAAUCGCAUGGGUUAAUACCCUGUGCGGAUGACGGUACCGGCAUAAGAAGCACCGGCUAACUACGUGCCAGCAGCCGCCGUAG